GUUGGCCUUUAAAAGCAAUUUUGAAAACUGAGUUUCUAGUUGCUGUAAGAGUGAUGAGCCAGAGUACUUCCAGCUCAUGAGACUCUGGUUCAACGGAAAAUGAUGUUGGAUUUGAACUAAUGAGCAGGUAGUUUGGUCUGUGCUGUUCUUGCAUUCACAUCUCAGAGAUCAGAAGAG
Molecule: non-coding RNA, 177 nt
Organism: Peromyscus maniculatus bairdii (prairie deer mouse)
Lineage: Eukaryota; Metazoa; Chordata; Mammalia; Rodentia; Cricetidae
Source: RefSeq, a predicted model, not a curated record